CGUUUCACGUCGGGUUCACC
Molecule: microRNA, 20 nt
Filed under: Physcomitrium patens
Lineage: Eukaryota; Viridiplantae; Streptophyta; Bryopsida; Funariales; Funariaceae
Also listed under: 1 other name
Description: ppt-miR894
Gene: ppt-miR894
Source: miRBase by way of RNAcentral